AGAAACAUGAUGAUCAAAAAAAAGCUGCUAACUUUUAUUUUUAAUGGUUAAAUUCCAUUUAUGUUUCUA
RNAcentral lists this transfer RNA (69 nucleotides) under Fergusonina taylori (eucalypt gall-forming fly). RNAcentral describes it as "tRNA-Ser". Lineage: Eukaryota; Metazoa; Arthropoda; Insecta; Diptera; Fergusoninidae. The record is from RNAcentral.